UUAAUGUUCUUUUUCGAACAGGCGACUUCAUUUUGGUGGGUGAUUUGAUGCGAUCUAUCACGCUGUUGCAUUACAAGCAAAUGGGAGUAGUUGUGAGGAGAUCGAUUUCAACCAAAUUUCUCAAAACUAUUGAUACCAAAUUUCUCAAAACUAUUGAUACAUUGGAUGACGAUGCGUUCCUUGGGUGGACAACAGCAAGAAUCUAUUUGUUUGCCUAAAAGAUGGGACCACAACAACGGGCGACGAACGAUAGCAAAUGCCAGAGGUUCCUCAAUUCAUGCCAUGGUUCGCUCGUGAUGCAAAACAUUGGUGAGCGAACGACGCUGACAACGGGCUGUGUGCUAUUUGGCACGGUCUGAUCACAAAUAACACUCGAUUAUUAUGAAUUUCUUCGAAAGUUACGGGAAAGUUUGAUACAAUCAAAUCUGUUGGUAAGACUGAUUAUUCGUAUUGGCGUAGUUUCCAUACCGAAAUGGAAACGGAACGUUGCGAGGGAUUUAUUGAUGGAGGAUGGAUAGUGGAUAGUGGAUAGUUUUCUGGAUUUAACUCGGGAAAUAUAUACGAUGCAUUGGGAUUGCAGAUCGACGGGGAUAGAACUAAGAAGGAAGCGGCCGUAGAUGAUAAAAUCAAGAUUGUAGAAGACCUAACAUGGACACAUCAGGAUGUCCAGUGUUGGUCAUGAUUAUUGAAUGAAUGCUAUCAGUUGCUAUAGUUGCGAAAAAUAAUUUCAUGUUUGUAGGAUAAUAAAGAAAUUCCAGUAAACGUAUUGUUUACUACACAUUA
Molecule: long non-coding RNA, 783 nt
Organism: Toxorhynchites rutilus septentrionalis
Lineage: Eukaryota; Metazoa; Arthropoda; Insecta; Diptera; Culicidae
Exons: 2
Source: RefSeq, a predicted model, not a curated record